GUAAUGAACAACUUCAUCUAUUAAAAGUUGGCUACAUGGUAAAGCUGUGGCUUAUCAUCUUGCAGGAUCUGAAUUCCACAUGUCGUUUUUCUGGAAGGAUCCAGUCCUGGCCUAUUGAACCCCAUUCUUCAACCAUCUGCUUGACUUCAUCAUGGGGGUUGACCAGCCUGUGAUGGGCUCUAUAAGUGGUGCAGCCAGCUACAAUAUAUCCUUCAUGCAAUAUGGUGGCUUAACCAAACUAAUCAAACCUUUAUUAAAGAGACGGCUUACAUUAGUAACAGUAUUUCCCUCGCUCAGCAGGAAUCCACAAAUGAGUGCAAAAGUGCCAUUGAAAUCAAUUUUGUGGUUACAAAUAAAUUUUCAUGAAUAUGCAAAUACAGAAUCUGUGAAUAAUGA
This 396-nucleotide long non-coding RNA is filed under the name Androctonus crassicauda. Lineage: Eukaryota; Metazoa; Arthropoda; Arachnida; Scorpiones; Buthidae. The record is from RNAcentral.